UUAAAUUGAAGAGUUUGAUCAUGGCUCAGAUUGAACGCUGGCGGCAGGCCUAACACAUGCAAGUCGAACGGUAACAGGAAGCAGCUUGCUGCUUCGCUGACGAGUGGCGGACGGGUGAGUAAUGUCUGGGAAACUGCCUGAUGGAGGGGGAUAACUACUGGAAACGGUGGCUAAUACCGCAUAACGUCGCAAGACCAAAGAGGGGGACCUUCGGGCCUCUUGCCAUCAGAUGUGCCCAGAUGGGAUUAGCUUGUUGGUGAGGUAACGGCUCACCAAGGCGACGAUCCCUAGCUGGUCUGAGAGGAUGACCA
This 311-nucleotide ribosomal RNA is filed under the name Salmonella enterica subsp. enterica serovar Enteritidis. Its description in RNAcentral is "bacterial SSU rRNA". It matches the Rfam family "Bacterial small subunit ribosomal RNA", at positions 1 to 306 of the family's 1533-position model. Lineage: Bacteria; Pseudomonadati; Pseudomonadota; Gammaproteobacteria; Enterobacterales; Enterobacteriaceae. The record is from RNAcentral.